RNAcentral lists this ribosomal RNA (911 nucleotides) under uncultured bacterium. RNAcentral's name for it is "bacterial SSU rRNA". It matches the Rfam family "Bacterial small subunit ribosomal RNA", at positions 9 to 916 of the family's 1533-position model. The record is from RNAcentral.
GAGUUUGAUCCUGGCUCAGGAUGAACGCUGGCGGCGUGCUUAACACAUGCAAGUCGAACGGACUCAUAUUGAAACCUAGUGAUGUAUGAGUUAGUGGCGGACGGGUGAGUAACGCGUGGAGAACCUGCCGUAUACUGGGGGAUAACACUUAGAAAUAGGUGCUAAUACCGCAUAAGCGCACAGCUUCGCAUGAAGCAGUGUGGAAAACAAAAAGCUAAAGCUUUUGGUGGUAUACGAUGGAUCCGCGUCUGAUUAGCUAGUUGGUGGGGUAAAGGCCCACCAAGGCGACGAUCAGUAGCCGGCCUGAGAGGGUGAACGGCCACAUUGGGACUGAGACACGGCCCAAACUCCUACGGGAGGCAGCAGUGGGGAAUAUUGCACAAUGGGGGAAACCCUGAUGCAGCGACGCCGCGUGAGUGAAGAAGUAUUUCGGUACGUAAAGCUCUAUCAGCAGGGAAGAAAAUGACGGUACCUGACUAAGAAGCCCCGGCUAACUACGUGCCAGCAGCCGCGGUAAUACGUAGGGGGCAAGCGUUAUCCGGAUUUACUGGGUGUAAAGGGAGCGUAGACGGCAGCGCAAGUCUGGAGUGAAAUCCCAUGGCUUAACCAUGGAACUGCUUUGGAAACUGUGCAGCUGGAGUGCAGGAGAGGUAAGCGGAAUUCCUAGUGUAGCGGUGAAAUGCGUAGAUAUUAGGAGGAACACCAGUGGCGAAGGCGGCUUACUGGACUGUAACUGACGUUGAGGCUCGAAAGCGUGGGGAGCAAACAGGAUUAGAUACCCUGGUAGUCCACGCUGUAAACGAUGAUUACUAGGUGUUGGGGGACCAAGGUCCUUCGGUGCCGUCGCAAACGCAUUAAGUAAUCCACCUGGGGAGUACGUUCGCAAGAAUGAAACUCAAAGGAAUUGACGG